Molecule: transfer RNA, 76 nt
Filed under: Gammaproteobacteria bacterium
Lineage: Bacteria; Pseudomonadati; Pseudomonadota; Gammaproteobacteria
Also listed under: 1 other name
Description: tRNA-Thr
Rfam family: tRNA
About the family: Transfer RNA (tRNA) molecules are approximately 80 nucleotides in length.
Source: RNAcentral
GCCGGCGUAGCUCAGUUGGUAGAGCAGCUGAUUUGUAAUCAGAAGGUCGCGGGUUCGAUUCCUGCCGCCGGCACCA